UACGAGCAAUUAUUUUUCUAAAACUUGUUCUAAUUAAUUGGGUCAAUUGUUUCAACAUUACAUAGUCAAGCCCAAACAAAUAAGUCAUUCAAGCCCAUCAAAAUGCCAUCCUAAAUCAGAAUUUUAAACCCAAAAGAAAAAGGGAAACAAAAAUCUCAACACCACCAUCAUCAAACAUCACGCAUCAUCAUCUUCUUCACCAUCAUCACCAUGUUCAUCAUCAUACAUCCAUGGAAGCUUCUUGCAAGUUGCAAAUCCACUGCUCAUCUUCUUCUACGUGUAACCCAUCAAUCCAAACACCAUCACCAACCUUCUCCUCCACAAGAAUCACCACCCAAAUCAUCCAAUCAAAUUUGAUUUUCAAUCUGAUUUCUCACACCAUUUCACCUAUAAAUAGAGCAAGAAUUUACUCAAUUCAAUUCACAAAUCGAUUGCAAACCCAUCCUCAAAAUUUCAGCAAGUUUAAAUUCAAGAAAAUUCAUUUAAAAAUCAAAUUAAAAACUCCCUGCUUUUACAACCACCGACCACCGCCGGCCACCUGAAGGUGGCCUCGCGCCGGCGUCUAGCCACCUCGCCGCCCUCCUGCUCGCCGUCCUCCCUCCUCUUCCCGUCGCCCACUCCUCCCUCUGUCUUCGUUCCUCUUUCGCGGCCCCCUUCUCUCCCCUCCCUUCUCGCUGCAGCCCACCGGAAACCACCACCACCAAAAACCCGCGGCCACCUCCCUCCUUGCCACCUGCAAAACCGACGCCACCCCAGCCCAAGCUGCGCACCAACCUCACGCAACUCCCCCUUCCCCUCCUCCUUUCCUCGUGCCUUUUCUCUGUAAACAAGACCAACAUAUGGUCUUUAAAAACAAAAUAGUAAAUUUAAAGGACCCAAGUUCAUAUUCCCUUGACCCAUUAAAGAAGGUCCUUGGAGCUCAAGAAGAACGGCUCAUCGAAAGUAAGGAAAACGAGUGCUAAUAGAGGUUGAGGUACCGAAGAGGACAACGGGAUGGAUUAGUGGUGAGGACGUAUCCGUUAAAGCAAGGUUAUUUAAGUUGAAUAAAUAAACUUAGUAGUUAAUUAUGUACUAAAACUCUAGCUUUAAUUCUAAGAAUUAUUACGGUUUGUAUUAUGACAAUUUAGUUAAUAUCACGAGUCUUUUGUUUCAUUAA
Molecule: long non-coding RNA, 1156 nt
Organism: Spinacia oleracea (spinach)
Lineage: Eukaryota; Viridiplantae; Streptophyta; Magnoliopsida; Caryophyllales; Amaranthaceae
Exons: 3
Source: RefSeq, a predicted model, not a curated record